Non-coding RNA from Heterocephalus glaber (naked mole-rat), 326 nucleotides. The record is from Rfam. Lineage: Eukaryota; Metazoa; Chordata; Mammalia; Rodentia; Bathyergidae.
GGAUAUGAGAGGGAUCUGGCUACAAUAUCUGUCACCCCAUUGAUUGCCAGGGUUGAUUUGGCUGAUCUGGCUGGCUAGGCAGGUGUCCCUUCCUCUCACCAUUUUCUUGUUCAUCCCUCUUGAAGCUGUGUGCUUGGUUGAUGAAGAUGACCUUCCCCAAAAAAGAAGUACUGCUUCCUUGGUCAAGGGUAUAUGAGUAGCUGUGCUGUCCUGCUAGAACCCCCAAACAAGCUCUCAAGACCAGAUGAUGUGUUUGACUGAUGGCGUUUGAAACUUUGUGUGUGUUUGGGGGUACUAGAGAUCGAAUCCAGGGGUGCUCUGCCACU